RNAcentral lists this ribosomal RNA (424 nucleotides) under uncultured bacterium. RNAcentral's name for it is "partial 16S ribosomal RNA". It matches the Rfam family "Bacterial small subunit ribosomal RNA", at positions 360 to 776 of the family's 1533-position model. The record is from RNAcentral.
AAUAUUGGACAAUGGGCGAAAGCCUGAUCCAGCCAUGCCGCGUGUGUGAAGAAGGUAUUCGGAGUGUAAAGCACUUUAAGUUGGGAGGAAGGGGUUGAAGCUAAUACCUACAAUCUUUGACGUUACCAACAGAAUAAGCACCGGCUAACUCUGUGCCAGCUGCCGCGGUAAUACAGAGGGUGCAAGCGUUAAUCGGAAUUACUGUGCGUAAAGCGCGCGUAGGUGGUUCAGUAAGAUGGCAGUGAAAUCCCCGGGCUUAACCUGGGAACUGCUUUCAUAACGGCUGAGCUAGAGUAAGGUAGAGGGUAGGGGAAUUUCCUGUGUAGCGGUGAAAUGCGUAGAUAUAGGAAGGAACACCAGUGGCGAAGGCGACUACCUGGACUGAUACUGACACUGAGGUGCGAAAGCGUGGGGAGCAAACAGG